RNAcentral lists this ribosomal RNA (549 nucleotides) under Biscogniauxia mediterranea. RNAcentral describes it as "eukaryotic LSU rRNA". The stretch from base 182 to 335 matches the Rfam family "5.8S ribosomal RNA". Lineage: Eukaryota; Fungi; Ascomycota; Sordariomycetes; Xylariales; Xylariaceae. The record is from RNAcentral.
UUAGCGAUUUAAUUACAACUCCAAACCCCUGUGACUUACCUAUGUUGCCUUGGCAGGUCGUGGUGUGUAGCGUGAUCGCUAUAAGGGAUCACCGCCUCGCACCACGCUGAAAGACCUGUCAAAGGACCCCUAAACUCUGUCUUACAACUGUAUCUCUGAGUCUAUUAUAUAAACAAGUUAAAACUUUCAACAACGGAUCUCUUGGCUCUGGCAUCGAUGAAGAACGCAGCGAAAUGCGAUAAGUAAUGUGAAUUGCAGAAUUCAGUGAAUCAUCGAAUCUUUGAACGCACAUUGCGCCUGAUAGUAUUCUGUCAGGCAUGCCUGUUCGAGCGUCAUUUCAACCCCCAAGCCCUAAUCUGCUUGACGUUGGGAGUUUACGGAGACGUAAUUCCUCAAAUAUAGUGGCGGAGCUAGGUCGUGCUCUAAGCGUAGUAACCACACUCUCGCUUCUGCAGCCGGCCUAGGUCUUGCCGUAAAACCCCUAUAUUUAUUUUUUUACUGGUUGACCUCGGAUCAGGUAGGAAUACCCGCUGAACUUAAGCAUAUCAU